RNAcentral lists this ribosomal RNA (464 nucleotides) under Vreelandella stevensii. RNAcentral's name for it is "partial 16S ribosomal RNA". It matches the Rfam family "Bacterial small subunit ribosomal RNA", at positions 338 to 795 of the family's 1533-position model. Lineage: Bacteria; Pseudomonadati; Pseudomonadota; Gammaproteobacteria; Oceanospirillales; Halomonadaceae. The record is from RNAcentral.
CCUACGGGGGCAGCAGUGGGGAAUAUUGGACAAUGGGCGAAAGCCUGAUCCAGCCAAGCCGCGUGUGUGAAGAAGGCCUUCGGGUUGUAAAGCACUUUCAGUGGGGAAGAAAGCCUUGGGGCUAAUACCCUCGAGGAAGGACAUCACCCACAGAAGAAGCACCGGCUAACUCCGUGCCAGCAGCCGCGGUAAUACGGAGGGUGCGAGCGUUAAUCGGAAUUACUGGGCGUAAAGCGCGCGUAGGCGGUCUGAUAAGCCGGUUGUGAAAGCCCCGGGCUCAACCUGGGAACGGCAUCCGGAACUGUCAGGCUAGAGUGCAGGAGAGGAAGGUAGAAUUCCCGGUGUAGCGGUGAAAUGCGUAGAGAUCGGGAGGAAUACCAGUGGCGAAGGCGGCCUUCUGGACUGACACUGACGCUGAGGUGCGAAAGCGUGGGUAGCAAACAGGAUUAGAUACCCGAGUAGUC